RNAcentral lists this unclassified non-coding RNA (1368 nucleotides) under uncultured Neocallimastigales. RNAcentral describes it as "partial contains internal transcribed spacer 1, 5.8S ribosomal RNA, internal transcribed spacer 2, and large subunit ribosomal RNA". The stretch from base 595 to 1368 matches the Rfam family "Eukaryotic large subunit ribosomal RNA", at positions 1 to 626 of the family's 3401-position model. The record is from RNAcentral. Lineage: Eukaryota; Fungi; Neocallimastigomycota; Neocallimastigomycetes; Neocallimastigales.
AAAAUAAUCCUACCCUUUGUGAAUUUUGUUUGUUUGAAUAAUUUUUUUUUUUUAAAAAAUUAUUGGAGUCUUUCCCUUUAGAGUUUGCUUUUGAGUUUGUAAAAGAAUUCGAAAACACCUAAAGGGGAUGGUCAAUAAUUUUUUUUGAAAAAAGACAUUUUUUAAAAUUAAACUUUUUGUAUUCAUUUGUCUAAAAAUUAUUUUUAUAAUAUAAAAACAACUUUUGACAAUGGAUCUCUGGAUCUCGCAACGAUGAAGAACGCUGCAAAAUGCGAUAAGUAGUGUGAAUUGCAGAAUACGUGAAUCAUCGAAUCUUUGAACGCAUAUUGCACUUUUUUAGUUUACUAAAAAAGUAUGUCUGUUUGAGUAUCAGUAAAAUAUUCUCAUAAAAAUCAUUGUAUUUUUAUGGUUAUGAGUGUUUUACAACGAUACAAGUUGUUUCACUUUAAAUUUUUUUUUAAUAUUGAAAUUUUUCUAAUUUUAAUAAUUAAAAUUGGAUAAAAUUUUCCCGUCAAAAGGAAUAACCUAAACAAUUUUAAACGAUUAAUUUUAGCAAAAUUUUCGUAAAAAAGGAAAAUUUUUAUUAAAAUAACUUGAUCUCAAAUCAGAUAAGAGUACCCGCUGAACUUAAGCAUAUCAAUAAGCGGAGGAAAAGAAACUAACAAGGAUUCCCUUAGUAACGGCGAGUGAAGCGGGAAGAGCUCAAAUUUGAAAUCUUCAAGGUUUUACCUUGACGAAUUGUAGUUUAAAGAAGUGUUUUCUGCUGAAGUUUUGGGUAAAAGUUCUUUGGAAUAGGACAUCAUAGAGGGUGAGAAUCCCGUAUUUGACCAUUAUUUUCAGCUUUGUGAUACACUUUCAAAGAGUCGGAUUGUUUGGGAAUGCAGUCCAAAAUGGGUGGUAAAUUUCAUCUAAAGCUAAAUAUUGGCGAGAGACCGAUAGCGAACAAGUACCGUGAGGGAAAGAUGAAAAGAACUUUGAAAAGAGAGUUAAACAGUACGUGAAAUUGUCAAAAGGGAAGCGUUUGACACCAGUGUUGUUUUCUCGAAAAUCAAUUAAAAAUGGCUCGAUUUUGUAUUGCUGAGACCUUAAAAGCUCACUGUACAUUUUUCGUGUCUUUUUAAUGCACUUUUCGUUUAACAAGUCAACAUCAGUUUCUUUUGUUGUAAAAGGGUCAUUGGAAGGUGGCUUUCUUUUCGGAGAAAGUGUUUAUAGCCUUUGGCCUCUGCAAUCGGAGAGACUGAGGUCUGCAGCGUAGACUCUUCGGGGUUAGAUACAUUUGUGCUAGUUAUAGCUUUUUAUAGACAACUUGUUGACUAUAAUUAGUCUUGUAGCUUACUCGCUUAUGCUAUUUUACCUACGCUUAGGAUG